RNAcentral lists this ribosomal RNA (433 nucleotides) under uncultured bacterium. RNAcentral's name for it is "partial 16S ribosomal RNA". It matches the Rfam family "Bacterial small subunit ribosomal RNA", at positions 29 to 507 of the family's 1533-position model. The record is from RNAcentral.
AACGAACGCUGGCGGCAUGCCUAACACAUGCAAGUCGAACGAGACCUUCGGGUCUAGUGGCGCACGGGUGCGUAACGCGUGGGAACCUGCCCUUAGGUUCGGAAUAACUCCCCGACAGGGGUGCUAAUACCGAAUAAUGUCUUCGGACCAAAGAUUUAUCGCCUUUGGAUGGGCCCGAGUUGGAUUAGCUAGUUGGUAGGGUAAAAGCCUACCAAGGCGACGAUCCAUAGCUGGUCAGAGAGGAUGAGCAGCCACACUGGGACUGAGACACGGCCGAGACUCCUACGGGAGGCAGCAGUGGGGAAUAUUGGACAACGGGCGAAGGCCUGAUCCAGCAAUGCCGCGUGAGUGAUGAAGGCCUUAGGGUUGUAAAGCUCUUUUACCCGGGAUGAUAAUGACAGUACCGGGAGAAUAAGCUACGGCUAACUCCGUG